Molecule: ribosomal RNA, 497 nt
Filed under: uncultured bacterium
Lineage: Bacteria
Description: partial 16S ribosomal RNA
Rfam family: Bacterial small subunit ribosomal RNA
Source: RNAcentral
GACGAACGCUGGCGGCGUGCCUAAUACAUGCAAGUAGAACGCUGAAGAGAGGAGCUUGCUCUUCUUGGAUGAGUUGCGAACGGGUGAGUAACGCGUAGGUAACCUGCCUUGUAGCGGGGGAUAACUAUUGGAAACGAUAGCUAAUACCGCAUAACAAUGGAUGACACAUGUCAUUUAUUUGAAAGGGGCAAUUGCUCCACUACAAGAUGGACCUGCGUUGUAUUAGCUAGUAGGUGAGGUAAUGGCUCUCCUAGGCGACGAUACAUAGCCGACCUGAGAGGGUGAUCGGCCACACUGGGACUGAGACACGGCCCAGACUCCUACGGGAGGCAGCAGUAGGGAAUCUUCGGCAAUGGGGGCAACCCUGACCGAGCAACGCCGCGUGAGUGAAGAAGGUUUUCGGAUCGUAAAGCUCGGUUGUAAGUCAAGAACGGGUGUGAGAGUGGAAAGUUCACACUGUGACGGUAGCUUACCAGAAAGGGACGGCUAACUACGUG